RNAcentral lists this long non-coding RNA (306 nucleotides) under Setaria italica (foxtail millet). Its description in RNAcentral is "long non-coding RNA (SITA_LNC004774)". The record is from RNAcentral. Lineage: Eukaryota; Viridiplantae; Streptophyta; Magnoliopsida; Poales; Poaceae.
CGUUAGUGAGUGAAUCAACUCGUACCUGCUCGCCAGGAAAAACGGAGCAUUUAAUUUAGUUUUUUCAUCUUCUUUAAAAAAAAGCCUUUUUGACAGAUAAUGUUGUGAUUGUGAAGGACAUGAGAGUCUCACUGUUAGGAAUUAGGAUGUUUGGUCGCCAACAAAAGCCCAAGAGAGCGGCCUCUCUCUACUUUCGAACUGUUUGGUCAAAUAUCAUGUUCAAAGUUCAGCGACAAAUUAAAGUAGGGAGACAUGCAUUUUGCAAUAUCUUACUGUUACUUAUGGGAGGCUCCUUUUGAAGUCUCC